RNAcentral lists this ribosomal RNA (294 nucleotides) under Basidiomycota sp. OLGAJ. RNAcentral describes it as "partial 18S small subunit ribosomal RNA". It matches the Rfam family "Eukaryotic small subunit ribosomal RNA", at positions 57 to 364 of the family's 1831-position model. The record is from RNAcentral. Lineage: Eukaryota; Fungi; Basidiomycota.
GUCUAAGUAUAAGCAACUUUGUACUGUGAAACUGCGAAUGGCUCAUUAAAUCAGUUAUAGUUUAUUUGAUGGUUUUUGCUACAUGGAUAACUGUGGUAAUUCUAGAGCUAAUACAUGCAUUCAAGCCCCGACUUCUGGAAGGGGUGUAUUUAUUAGAUAAAAAUCAACUUUGUUGGUGAAUCAUAAUAACUUCUCGGACCGCAUGGCCUCGUGCUGGCGGUGCUUCAUUCAAAUAUCUGCCCUAUCAACUGUCGAUGGUAGGAUAGAGGCCUACCAUGGUUGCGACGGGUAACG